This 1358-nucleotide unclassified non-coding RNA is filed under the name Hevea brasiliensis (rubber tree). The record is from RNAcentral. Lineage: Eukaryota; Viridiplantae; Streptophyta; Magnoliopsida; Malpighiales; Euphorbiaceae.
GGACAACAGCGGUGGAAACAAAGAAGAUAUAUGGGUCUCAGAAGCUUCUUGAUCACCAAGUGAAUACUGCUUCAAUGAUUUCUUCUCUUGAGGCAGAACUAGAAUGUGCUCGUGCCCGAGUUCAUCAACUUGAGACGGAGCGGCAUUCAUCGAAAAAGAAACUCAAGCAGUUCUUGAGGAAACUCAGUGAAGAAAAAGCAGCAUGGCGGAGCAAAGAGCAUGAGAAAAUCCGGGCAAUUAUGGAUGAAAUGAGAGCUGACUUCUCCCGGGAAAGGAAAAACCGAAAGAGGCUGGAAAUUGUCAAUUCCCAAUUAGUUAAUGAAUUGGCUGAUGCCAAGUUAUUAGCAAAACGUUAUUUGCAAAAUUUCGAAAAGGAAAAACAGGCUAGAGGGUUGAUAGAAGAAGUGUGCGAUGAAUUGGCCAAAGAACUUGGAGAAGACAAGGCUGAAGUUGAGGAAAUGAAGAGAGAAUCUCUGAAGUUCACAGAGGAAGUAGAUGAAGAAAGAAAGAUGUUGCAGAUGGCUGAGGUUUGGCGUGAGGAACGGGUCCAGAUGAAACUAGUUGAUGCCAAGGUGAUGCUUGAAGAGAAGUAUUCCCAAAUGAACAAACUCAUUGGAGAACUAGAAUCAUUUUUGGAUUCCAGAGGUUUGAGUUUUGAUGUGGAGAAGAUGAAAAGAGCUGAGCAACUCCAACAGGCCGCUGCCUCUGUUAGCAUUCGUGAUAUUAGAGAACUCACUUAUGAACCACCAAAUCAAGAUGAUAUUCUUUCCGUUUUUGAGGACGUUCAUUUUGUUGAACCUGAUGAAAAGGAUAUCCAGCCAUGUACAUUUAGUCCUCGCUCUCUCAGUCCUGAUGGUGUUGUUUACGACUUUCGCAGAAUUUCACAUGCAUAUGUCAAUCAGAGUGAUAAUUUAGAGGAAGAGGGAAGUGAGUGGGAAACGGUGACCAAUCUUGAGGAGCAAGGGUCCAACUAUUCUCUUGAAGGAAGCAUUUCAUCCGUGAACAAGAAUUGCCGGCACAGCAAUGUAUCAAGAAGUAGAGCAGACUCAGAGGGAAUUGGUGAUGAUGGCGCAUCGGUUUCAGAGAUUAGUGAAGUUUGUUCUGGACCAGCUCGGCAACUUACAGAGUUGUCAUCUGCAUCUAAACUUUGGAAGUCACGCCCGAGUAAUGGAGACAAUUUCAAAAUAAAAUCACUAGAAGGAUCUAAAGGGAGGCUGUCAAAUGGGACCAUUCUUUCUCGGGAUCAUGGUUCUAGUAAAGGUGGCUUUAGCCCCUCGGAACUUGGCCAGGAGUGGAGCUCACCUGAGUCUGGCAACUCACAAAUAGCACGCGGGAUGAAAGGUUGCAUUGAAUGGCCG